GAAUUCAACUCCUACGGGAGGCAGCAGUGGGGAAUAUUGCACAAUGGGCGCAAGCCUGAUGCAGCGACGCCGCGUGGGGGAUGAAGGCCUUCGGGUUGUAAACUCCUUUCGCUAGGGACGAAGCGUAAGUGACGGUACCUGGAGAAGAAGCACCGGCUAACUACGUGCCAGCAGCCGCGGUAAUACGUAGGGUGCGAGCGUUGUCCGGAAUUACUGGGCGUAAAGAGCUCGUAGGUGGUUUGUCGCGUCGUUUGUGUAAGUCCACAGCUUAACUGUGGGACUGCAGGCGAUACGGGCAUAACUUGAGUGCUGUAGGGGAGACUGGAAUUCCUGGUGUAGCGGUGGAAUGCGCAGAUAUCAGGAGGAACACCGAUGGCGAAGGCAGGUCUCUGGGCAGUAACUGACGCUGAGGAGCGAAAGCAUGGGGAGCGAACAGGAUUAGAAACCCUAGUAGUCCAGGCGUU
RNAcentral lists this ribosomal RNA (464 nucleotides) under uncultured bacterium. Its description in RNAcentral is "bacterial SSU rRNA". It matches the Rfam family "Bacterial small subunit ribosomal RNA", at positions 328 to 803 of the family's 1533-position model. The record is from RNAcentral.